AGUGAACGCUGGCGGUAGGCCUAACACAUGCAAGUCGAACGGCAGCACAGUAAGAGCUUGCUCUUACGGGUGGCGAGUGGCGGACGGGUGAGGAAUACAUCGGAAUCUACUUUUUCGUGGGGGAUAACGUAGGGAAACUUACGCUAAUACCGCAUACGCCCUACGGGUGAAAGCAUGGGAUCUUCGGACCUUGCGCGAUUGCAUGAGCCGAUGUCGGAUUAGUUAGUUGGCGGGGUAAAGGCCCACCAAGGCGACGAUCCGUAGCUGGUCUGAGUGGAUGAUCAGCCACACUAGAACUGAGACACGGUCCAGACUCCUACGGGAGGCAGCAGUGGGGAAUAUUGGACAAUGGGCGCAAACCUGAUCCAGCGAUACCGCGUGGGUGAAGAAGGCCUUCGGGUUGUAAAGCCCUUUUGUUGGGAAAGAAAAGCAGCAGGUUAAUACCCCGCUGUUCUGACGGUACCCAAAGAAUAAGCACCGGCUAACUUCGUG
RNAcentral lists this ribosomal RNA (492 nucleotides) under uncultured bacterium. Its description in RNAcentral is "partial 16S ribosomal RNA". It matches the Rfam family "Bacterial small subunit ribosomal RNA", at positions 29 to 507 of the family's 1533-position model. The record is from RNAcentral.